CAAAGGUUUGGUCCUGGCCUUGUGGUCAGUUAUUACUUACUAUACACAUGCAAGUAUCCGCCCCCCUGUGAAAACGCCCUUUAACCCCCGUUAGGGACAAGGAGCCGGUAUCAGGCGCGAAAAUCCGCCCAAGACACCUAGCUAUGCCACACCCACAAGGGAAUUCAGCAGUGAUUAACAUUGAGUAUUAGCGAAAGCUUGACUCAGUUAAAGUAAACAGAGCCGGCUAAUCUGGUGCCAGCCGCCGCGGUUACACCACGUGGCUCAAAUUGACCCCCCUCCGGCGUAAAGCGUGAUUAAAGUUUUCACUUACUAGAGUUAAACUAAGACUAAGCUGUGACACGCCUGUUAUCAAGAAACCCAAAAACGAAAGUUACUCUAACACAACCAACUUGAACUCACGACAGCUGGG
RNAcentral lists this ribosomal RNA (412 nucleotides) under Bufo torrenticola (Japanese stream toad). RNAcentral describes it as "partial 12S ribosomal RNA". The record is from RNAcentral. Lineage: Eukaryota; Metazoa; Chordata; Amphibia; Anura; Bufonidae.